CUGUGGGCGUCGAAGGGGAUUUCCCGGCGCGAAGGCUUCAGGCGGGGAAGCUGGACUCAGGACGCAGGCCUCCCUUCACAGCCCCACGUCCACUAAGCAUUAAGGCCGCAGACCUCUCUCUUCCACUGCUGACCUCCUUGCUGCAUUUUCUGCUGGUCACCUUCAGGUCUGGACUUCUGAGUUUGUGCUCUUCAUUGUCUGGGGCUGUUGAUGGGUCCUGAGACUGGUGUAUGGGCAUCUUCCUUCCUGGCUGCCAGGGUCGCCUCGGGGCAUAAUUAAUCGUGCCCAGGUUCUGGGUUGUGCUUAAAAAAUUCUGCACAGGCCCCAGCAGGUAGGGACUGCUCUCAAGACUUCUGGACUUGCCCCCGUGG
RNAcentral lists this long non-coding RNA (371 nucleotides) under Rhinolophus ferrumequinum (greater horseshoe bat). Its description in RNAcentral is "lncRNA (ENSRFEG00010008882.1)". Lineage: Eukaryota; Metazoa; Chordata; Mammalia; Chiroptera; Rhinolophidae. The record is from RNAcentral.